GCUUAUACUCGACCGUCAGCGGCACGUGCGAUCGCGCGAGCUCGUUCGCGAGCGAGCGCGGUCACGAAGCCCUGACGAGUAGGAGGGUCGCGGCGGUGAGCGCAGAAGGGCUGGCCGCGAGGCCGUCUGGAGCCGCCGUCGGUGCAGAUCUUGGUGGUAGUAGCAAAUACUCCAGCGAGGCCCUGGAGGACUGACGUGGAGAAGGGUUUCGUGUGAACAGCCGUUGCACACGAGUCAGUCGAUCCUAAGCCCUAGGCGAAAGCCGAUGUCGAUGCGGUGUAGUUUUUACGAUAGAAAGAGAUAACACGAAAUUCGACGACUACUACGACGACGUUAAAAAAAAAAACGUUAACGAGACGUUAAUACGUCGUCGUUAACGUUAACGAGACGUUAUUCGUCGUCGUUAAGUCGUCGUCGUCGUUAACUCUAAUUAAUAACGCGAGAGCACACACCCGUCGGGCGAAAGGGAAUCCGGUUCCUAUUCCGGAACCUGGCAGCGGAACCGUCAAAAAGUCGGGC
This 519-nucleotide ribosomal RNA is filed under the name Echinodera brachati. RNAcentral's name for it is "eukaryotic LSU rRNA". It matches the Rfam family "Eukaryotic large subunit ribosomal RNA", at positions 1340 to 1663 of the family's 3401-position model. The record is from RNAcentral. Lineage: Eukaryota; Metazoa; Arthropoda; Insecta; Coleoptera; Curculionidae.